CCUACGAGAAUUACUGAGUAAUAAUCUUAAUGAUUAUUGAUUUGGAAUGAACGUGAUUUAAGAAAUCCGUUGAGUAACAACUGGAGGGCAAGUCUGGUGCCAGCAGCCGCGGUAAUUCCAGCUCCAGUAGCGUACUUCAAAAUUGCUGCGUUUAAAACGCUCGUAGUUGGAUCACAUGGUUAGAUUCAGUAAGACUGCGCGUUGGUACGCUAAAUCCAUAAGUGUGGAUGUGGUGGUGUGUUAUCGCCAUCACAAUUUACAAGUUGUGGAGUGCUGCGCGUUGAUUGAUAGCUGAGUUUAACUGAUUGCAUAUGGGGAUGGUAGUUGACCUUAAGUGAGUCGAUUACUGUGUCUCAUGGAGUGUGCCUUGAAUAAAUCAGGGUGCUCAAAGCAGGCUUGAUGCCUGAAUGUUAACAGCAUGGAACGAACAAUUGUGGCAAGGUGAUACUGCUCUGACUGGUGAUGUGCUUUUCUGUAUGUCAUUAUGUUGGGGCAGUAUCAUAGCACCAACCACCAAUAUCGGAUGUUGGUUCCGUAUUGGGGUGAUGAUUAAGAGGAGCGGUUGGGGGCAUUGGUAUUUUGCCGCGAGAGGUGAAAUUAA
Molecule: ribosomal RNA, 601 nt
Filed under: Myxosporea environmental sample
Lineage: Eukaryota; Metazoa; Cnidaria; Myxozoa
Description: bacterial SSU rRNA
Rfam family: Eukaryotic small subunit ribosomal RNA
Source: RNAcentral